UGGCAGGGUAAACCCCACCCGGAGCAAGACCAAAUAGGGAUCCGUUGGCGUGGCCCGCGCUGGAUCCGGGUAGGUUGCUAGAGGUUUGUGGCGACGCAAACCCGAGAUGAAUGACUGUCCACGACAGAACCCGGCUUAUCGACCGGUCCACCUU
RNAcentral lists this RNase P RNA (154 nucleotides) under Alcanivorax sp. RNAcentral describes it as "partial RNase P RNA component class A". It matches the Rfam family "Bacterial RNase P class A", at positions 199 to 367 of the family's 367-position model. From Rfam's summary of the family: Ribonuclease P (RNase P) is a ubiquitous endoribonuclease, found in archaea, bacteria and eukarya as well as chloroplasts and mitochondria. Lineage: Bacteria; Pseudomonadati; Pseudomonadota; Gammaproteobacteria; Oceanospirillales; Alcanivoracaceae. The record is from RNAcentral.